CUGCUCCUGGAAGCUGAAUUCAGAUGGUGCCAUAGAGUAUUUUAUGGCAUCUAGCACCAUUUGAAAUCAGUGUUCCUGGGCCG
Molecule: microRNA precursor, 83 nt
Filed under: Danio rerio (zebrafish)
Lineage: Eukaryota; Metazoa; Chordata; Actinopteri; Cypriniformes; Danionidae
Description: microRNA dre-mir-29b precursor (dre-mir-29b-1)
Gene: dre-mir-29b-1
Rfam family: mir-29 microRNA precursor family (bases 9-76)
About the family: This family represents the microRNA (miRNA) precursors mir-29. Animal miRNAs are transcribed as ~70nt precursors and subsequently processed by the Dicer enzyme to give a ~22nt product. In this case the mature sequence comes from the 3' arm of the precursor.
Source: miRBase by way of RNAcentral